Molecule: ribosomal RNA, 473 nt
Filed under: uncultured Magnetococcus sp.
Lineage: Bacteria; Pseudomonadati; Pseudomonadota; Magnetococcia; Magnetococcales; Magnetococcaceae
Description: bacterial SSU rRNA
Rfam family: Bacterial small subunit ribosomal RNA
Source: RNAcentral
UUCGGGUCGCCGGCGAGUGGCGAACGGGUGAGUAACACGUGGAUACCUGUCCCGUGGUGGGGAAUAACGUUUAGAAAUGAACGCUAAUACCGCAUACGCCCUAUGGGGGAAAGAUUUAUCGCCAUGGGAGGGGUCCGCGUCGGAUUAGCUUGUUGGUGGGGUAAUGGCCUACCAAGGCGACGAUCCGUAGCUGGUCUGAGAGGAUGAUCAGCCACACUGGGACUGAGACACGGCCCAGACUCCUACGGGAGGCAGCAGUGGGGAAUAUUGCGCAAUGGGGGAAACCCUGACGCAGCAACGCCGCGUGGGUGAAGAAGGCCUUAGGGUUGUAAAGCCCUUUCAGUGGGAAAGAUGAUGACGGUACCCACAGAAGAAGCUCCGGCUAACUCCGUGCCAGCAGCCGCGGUAAUACGGAGGGGGCAAGCGUUGUUCGGAAUUACUGGGCGUAAAGGGCGCGUAGGCUGUUGUGCAAG